This 901-nucleotide long non-coding RNA is filed under the name Bos indicus x Bos taurus (hybrid cattle). Its description in RNAcentral is "lncRNA (ENSBIXG00000001988.1)". The record is from RNAcentral. Lineage: Eukaryota; Metazoa; Chordata; Mammalia; Artiodactyla; Bovidae.
AUUAUUAAAGGCAACCAAAUCUGAGUUCUUUGAAUUCUUUUAACUUGACAGUAUGUGCUGAGCAAACGGGUUUAUUAAGCAAGCUGCUUGUAAGGCAUGAUACCUUGGUUCAGACACUAACCUGUGUUUUAUGAAGUUUAAACUUAUAAGUCAUGCUGAGUGUAAUUUUUAAGGUAAUAAAGAUAAGGUAAUGAAUGGAACACUAUACCUUGUGUUAAAAAAUUAAUCUCUAACUGGAUGACCUCGACUUAACCCUCGAUUUUUAAGGCUAUAAAAUUUGUAGUUAUGGCAAGGUAGAAGGAUAUUAUAACAGAUGUCUUCUAUUUCCUUCAUUGGUAUUUAUGCCAAAAAACUGUACAAUGAAGGUCCUAUAUACAUUUAAGACAUUGUUCUUUUAGCAGGCUUGAACCUCAUAGUGAGAUUCAAAGACUAAGAGAAUGCUUCCAAGAACCUGAAGGAGGAAAGGAGACGGCUUAGUUUUAUUACAGAUGGCUGCCAGCUUCAGGAUGUGCCUCAGUCUUUUUCCAUUGUUUCCAUUGUGACUGUUAACUGCAGAAACCCAGCCCAGAACCGAGGAUCCCAGGAUCUGCAUGUUGCAAGUGAUACCAAAGAGGUUUGUCAUAGCUUUUCUUCCAAGAAGGAUGCUUAUUCAGGCAAGCUGUUGUUGCCCAGACUUCAGAGGAAGGUUGGACAGAAACUUCUCAGCUCACAUUUGGAGUUACCAGAACAGUUUCCACGUGACUGCAAAAAACUUGACUUGGAAAGGAGUAAAACUCAGAGGAGGCCUUGGAUGAUGGUAAGUCUAGCAAGAAAGGACAGUCACCCUGGGUCAAGGCCAAAGGAGGGGCCAGCUGCAUCUAAGCGGAAUAGAAGUGAAGCCAUCCAAGAACAGACUGCUUAA